This 448-nucleotide ribosomal RNA is filed under the name uncultured bacterium. Its description in RNAcentral is "bacterial SSU rRNA". It matches the Rfam family "Bacterial small subunit ribosomal RNA", at positions 38 to 507 of the family's 1533-position model. The record is from RNAcentral.
CGCUAGGCGGGUGGCUUAACACAUGCAAGUCGAGGCGGGUCGUUCCGGGCCAGCGGCGAACGGGUGAGUAACACGGUAGGAUAUCUCGUCCUUUUGGGUGGGGCAUAGGCCGGGGGAAACCCCGAUUAAUACCGCAUAUGGCCUAUGGGUCAAAGCCUUCGGGCGCCAAGAGAGGAGCCUGCGGCCCAUUAUUUAAUCCUAGUUGGUGGGGUAAUGGCCUACCGAAGGGUACGAGUGGGUAGCUGGUCUGAGAGGACGAUCAGCCACACUGGAACUGAGACACGGUCCAGACUCCGUACGGGAGGCAGCAGUGGGGAAUAUUGCGCAAUGGGCGGAAGCCUGACGCAGCCAACCCGCGUGUGUGAUGAAGGCCUUCGGGUUGUAAAGCACUGUCGUGAGGGAAGAAGAUCUGACGGUACCUCACAAGAAGGCACCGGCUAACUCCGUG